CGAGCGAGUCUGCCUUGAAGAUCGGAGUGCUUGCACUCUGUGAAACAAGAUACAGGCUAGCGGCGGACGGGUGAGUAACACGUGGGUAACCUGCCCAAGAGAUCGGGAUAACACCUGGAAACAGAUGCUAAUACCGGAUAACAACAGAUGAUGCCUAUCAACUGUUUAAAAGAUGGUUCUGCUAUCACUCUUGGAUGGACCUGCGGUGCAUUAGCUAGUUGGUAGGGUAACGGCCUACCAAGGCGAUGAUGCAUAGCCGAGUUGAGAGACUGAUCGGCCACAUUGGGACUGAGACACGGCCCAAACUCCUACGGGAGGCAGCAGUAGGGAAUCUUCCACAAUGGACGCAAGUCUGAUGGAGCAACGCCGCGUGAGUGAAGAAGGGUUUCGGCUCGUAAAGCUCUGUUGUUGGUGAAGAAGGACAGGGGUAGUAACUGACCUUUGUUUGACGGUAAUCAAUUAGAAAGUCACGGCUAACUACGUGCCAGCAGCCGCGGUAAUACGUAGGUGGCAAGCGUUGUCCGGAUUUAUUGGGCGUAAAGCGAGUGCAGGCGGCUCGAUAAGUCUGAUGUGAAAGCCUUCGGCUCAACCGGAGAAUUGCAUCAGAAACUGUCGAGCUUGAGUACAGAAGAGGAGAGUGGAACU
This 645-nucleotide ribosomal RNA is filed under the name uncultured bacterium. RNAcentral describes it as "bacterial SSU rRNA". It matches the Rfam family "Bacterial small subunit ribosomal RNA", at positions 63 to 668 of the family's 1533-position model. The record is from RNAcentral.